AAAGCGUGCGCAGGCGGUUAUGUAAGACAGAUGUGAAAUCCCCGGGCUCAACCUGGGAACUGCAUUAGUGACUGCAUAGCUGGAGUACGGCAGAGGGGGAUGGAAUUCCGCGUGUAGUAGUGAAAUGCGUAGAUAUGCGGAGGAACACCGAUGGCGAAGGCAAUCCCCUGGGCCUGUACUGACGCUCAUGCACGAAAGCGUGGGGAGCAAACAGGAUUAGAUACCCGUGU
Molecule: ribosomal RNA, 230 nt
Filed under: uncultured bacterium
Lineage: Bacteria
Description: partial 16S ribosomal RNA
Rfam family: Bacterial small subunit ribosomal RNA
Source: RNAcentral